This 253-nucleotide ribosomal RNA is filed under the name uncultured bacterium. RNAcentral's name for it is "partial 16S ribosomal RNA". It matches the Rfam family "Bacterial small subunit ribosomal RNA", at positions 524 to 776 of the family's 1533-position model. The record is from RNAcentral.
UACAGAGGGUGCGAGCGUUAAUCGGAAUUACUGGGCGUAAAGCGUGCGUAGACGGUUAUUUAAGUCGGAUGUGAAAGCCCCGGGCUCAACCUGGGAAUUGCAUUCGAGACUGAAUAGCUAGGGUGCGGUAGAGGGAAGCGGAAUUUCCGGUGUAGCGGUGAAAUGCGUAGAUAUCUGGAGGAACACCGGUGGCGAAGGCGGCAUCCUGGACCGGUAUUGACGCUGAGGCGCGAAAGCCAGGGGAGCAAACGGG